This 136-nucleotide non-coding RNA is filed under the name Paraglaciecola arctica. The record is from RNAcentral. Lineage: Bacteria; Pseudomonadati; Pseudomonadota; Gammaproteobacteria; Alteromonadales; Alteromonadaceae.
CAUAUAAAUAAGGUUUAGUGUCGUUUUACAACAACACAAACUAAAUGGGAAUUUGGUGAAAGUCCAAAACUGUACCCGCAACUGUAAACGUUUAUCAAAACGUAAGUCAGAUACCAGCCUUAUAUACCUUUACAGU